Molecule: unclassified non-coding RNA, 1416 nt
Filed under: uncultured Neocallimastigales
Lineage: Eukaryota; Fungi; Neocallimastigomycota; Neocallimastigomycetes; Neocallimastigales
Description: partial contains small subunit ribosomal RNA, internal transcribed spacer 1, 5.8S ribosomal RNA, internal transcribed spacer 2, and large subunit ribosomal RNA
Rfam family: Eukaryotic large subunit ribosomal RNA (bases 659-1416)
Source: RNAcentral
UUUCCGUAGGUGAACCUGCGGAAGGAUCAUUAAAAAUUGGACUCCAUUGGUGAGUUCAUUAAUAAUCCCUACCCUUUGUGAAUUUGUUUGUUUGAAUAAUUUUUUUUCAAAAAAAAUUAUUGAAUGUCUUUCCCUGUUUUGGUGGAGCUUGUAAAGUGAAACCAGGCAGGGGAAUGGCAAACAAUAAUAUUUUUGAAAAAAGACCUUUUUUUAAAAUUAAACUUUUUGUAAUUCAUUUGUCUAAAAUUAUUUUUAUAAUAUAAAAACAACUUUUGACAAUGGAUCUCUUGGUUCUCGCAACGAUGAAGAACGCAGCAAAAUGCGAUAAGUAGUGUGAAUUGCAGAAUACGUGAAUCAUCGAAUCUUCGAACGCAUAUUGCACUUUUUUAGUUUACUAAAAAAGUAUGUCUGUUUGAGUAUCCAGUAAAAUAUUCUCAUAAAAAACAUUGUUUUUUUAUGGUUAUGAGUGUUUUACAACGAUAACAAGUUGUUUCACUUUAAAUUCUUGUUAUCAAAAAAAUCAUUAAAAGCUAAUUUUAAAGAUUUUUUAAAAUUGGAUAAAAUUUUCCCGUAAAAAGGAAAUAACCUAAACAAUUUUAAAAAAUUAAAAUUGGUUUGAUUUUUUUGAAACCCAAAGGAAAAAAAAACGAAAUUAACUUGAUCUCAAAUCAGAUAAGAGUACCCGCUGAACUUAAGCAUAUCAAUAAGCGGAGGAAAAGAAACUAACUAGGAUUCCCUCAGUAACGGCGAGUGAAGCGGGAAGAGCUCAAAUUUGAAAUCUUCAAGGUUUUACCUUGACGAAUUGUAGUUUAAAGAAGUGUUUUCUGUUGGAGUUUUGGUAAAAGUUCUUUGGAAAAGGACAUCAUAGAGGGUGAGAAUCCCGUAUUUGACCAUUAUCUCCAGCUUUGUGAUACACUUUCAAAGAGUCGGAUUGUUUGGGAAUGCAGUCCAAAAUGGGUGGUAAAUUUCAUCUAAAGCUAAAUACUGGCGAGAGACCGAUAGCGAACAAGUACCGUGAGGGAAAGAUGAAAAGAACUUUGAAAGAGAGUUAAACAGUACAUGAAAUUGUCAAAAGGGAAGCGUUUGACACCAGUGUUGUCUUCUCGAAAAUCAAUUAGAAAAAGGCCGGAUUUUGUGUUGUAUUGACUUUAUCAGCUUUCUGCACUUUUUUCUUGUCCUUUUUAAUGCACUUUUCGUUUAACAAGUCAACAUCAAUUUCUUUUGUUGUAAAAGGGUCAUUGGAAGGUGGCUUUCUUUUCGGAGAAAGUGUUUAUAGCCUUUGGCCUCUGCAAUCGGAGAGAUUGAGGUCUGCAGCGUAGAUCCUUCGGGGUUAGAUACAUUUGUGCUAAGUUAUAGCCUUUCAUAGACAACUUGUUGACUAUGAUCAGUCAUGUAGCUUACUCGCUUAUGCUAUUU